RNAcentral lists this long non-coding RNA (580 nucleotides) under Homo sapiens (human). RNAcentral's name for it is "PREDICTED lncRNA (TCONS_00229789)". The record is from RNAcentral. Lineage: Eukaryota; Metazoa; Chordata; Mammalia; Primates; Hominidae.
AUUCCAGGAAGCGUUUGCACAUCCUGGCCCCAGAAGAUUUUGCGUAGCCUCACCAAGAGAAGAAGUUGGAAAGAAAAAAAAAGAAGUUGGCAAGGCAUCCAGAGGAGACCCCGCCAGCACCUGGGUUCUCUGCCAGGGGAGAGAGUUAUGAAGAAGACUUGAGCAGGCAGUCCAGAGCUGAUACAGCUGCUCCAAUCACCAGAGAUGCAAUCUCCUGCUAGAUGUCUUCACAUCUACCUUUCUAUGUCACAUGUGCAAGAUGGUUGCUCUGCCUUCAGACAUCACAUUUACAUUCCAGGCAGAAAGGAGAAGGAAAGAGCAAAAGAUGUGUUCCGAACAAAUCCAUCUUAAAAACAAACAAGGGGAGGGGUAGCAGGAGAAAAUUUAAAAAGAAGAAGAAGAAAAACAAAAACAGGAAAGCCGUUGUUUCCCUAAAAGCCCCAUCAAGCCGACUUCUACCGGUGACUCAUUACCCAGUCAUGUGGCCACCCCUGGAUUCAAGGCAGUCUGAGGAGCCAGGGUCUUGCUCUGUCACCCAAGCUGGAGUGCAGUAGCACAAUCAAAGUUUUCUACAGCCUUG